RNAcentral lists this ribosomal RNA (371 nucleotides) under uncultured organism. Its description in RNAcentral is "partial 16S ribosomal RNA". It matches the Rfam family "Bacterial small subunit ribosomal RNA", at positions 527 to 896 of the family's 1533-position model. The record is from RNAcentral.
GGAGGGUGCAAGCGUUGUUCGGAAUUACUGGGCGUAAAGCGCGCGUAGGCGGCUAUGUAAGUCAGAUGUGAAAGCCCGCGGCUCAACCGUGGAAGUGCAUUUGAAACUGUAUAGCUUGAGUACUGGAGGGGGUAGUGGAAUUCCCGGUGUAGAGGUGAAAUUCGUAGAUAUCGGGAGGAAUACCGGUGGCGAAGGCGACUACCUGGCCAGAUACUGACGCUGAGGUGCGAAAGCGUGGGGAGCAAACAGGGAUUAGAUACCCUGGUAGUCCACGCCGUAAACGAUGUCAACUAGGUGUUGGAGUGGUUAAUCGCUUCAUUGCCGGAGCUAACGCAUUAAGUUGACCGCCUGGGGAUACGGUCGCAAGAUUA